CCUACGGGAGACAGCAGUGAGGAAUAUUGGUCAAUGGGCUUACGCCUGAACCAACCAAGUCGCGUGAGUGAAGAAGUAUUUCGGUAUGUAAAGCUCUAUCAGCAGGGAAGAAAAUGACGGUACCUGACUAAGAAGCCCCGGCUAACUACGUGCCAGCAGCCGCGGUAAUACGUAGGGGGCAAGCGUUAUCCGGAUUUACUGGGUGUAAAGGGAGCGUAGACGGCAGAGCAAGUCUGAAGUGAAAGCCCGCGGCCCAACUGCGGGACUGCUUUGGAAACUGCCCGGCUAGAGUGCUGGAGAGGUAAGCGGAAGUCCUAGUGUAGCGGUGAAAUGCGUAGAUAUUAGGAGGAACACCAGUGGCGAAGGCGGCUUACUGGACAGUAACUGACGUUGAGGCUCGAAAGCGUGGGGAGCAAACAGGAUUAGAUACCCCAGUAGUC
This 440-nucleotide ribosomal RNA is filed under the name uncultured bacterium. Its description in RNAcentral is "partial 16S ribosomal RNA". It matches the Rfam family "Bacterial small subunit ribosomal RNA", at positions 338 to 795 of the family's 1533-position model. The record is from RNAcentral.